This 320-nucleotide ribosomal RNA is filed under the name Escherichia coli. RNAcentral describes it as "bacterial SSU rRNA". It matches the Rfam family "Bacterial small subunit ribosomal RNA", at positions 77 to 397 of the family's 1533-position model. The record is from RNAcentral. Lineage: Bacteria; Pseudomonadati; Pseudomonadota; Gammaproteobacteria; Enterobacterales; Enterobacteriaceae.
AGCUUGCUGCUUCGCUGACGAGUGGCGGACGGGUGAGUAAUGUCUGGGAAACUGCCUGAUGGAGGGGGAUAACUACUGGAAACGGUAGCUAAUACCGCAUAAUGUCGCAAGACCAAAGAGGGGGACCUUCGGGCCUCUUGCCAUCGGAUGUGCCCAGAUGGGAUUAGCUUGUUGGUGGGGUAACGGCUCACCAAGGCGACGAUCCCUAGCUGGUCUGAGAGGAUGACCAGCCACACUGGAACUGAGACACGGUCCAGACUCCUACGGGAGGCAGCAGUGGGGAAUAUUGCACAAUGGGCGCAAGCCUGAUGCAGCCAUGC